This 749-nucleotide ribosomal RNA is filed under the name uncultured Methanocalculus sp. RNAcentral describes it as "bacterial SSU rRNA". It matches the Rfam family "Archaeal small subunit ribosomal RNA", at positions 102 to 856 of the family's 1478-position model. Lineage: Archaea; Methanobacteriati; Methanobacteriota; Methanomicrobia; Methanomicrobiales; Methanocalculaceae. The record is from RNAcentral.
GGAUAAUCUGCCCACAGGUGAGGAAUAAUCCCGGGAAACUGGGGCUAAUGCCUCAUAGGAGACGGGUGCUGGAAUGCUCUGUCUCCCAAAGGUCCGCCGCCUGAGGAUGAGUCUGCGUCCGAUUAGGUUGUUGUUGGGGUAACGGCCCAACAAGCCUUUGAUCGGUACGGGUUGUGGGAGCAAGAGCCCGGAGAUGGAUUCUGAGACAUGAAUCCAGGCCCUACGGGGCGCAGCAGGCGCGAAAACUUUACAAUGCGAGCAAUCGUGAUAAGGAAACCCUGAGUGCCUGUCAAUGCAGGCUGUUCUGGUGUCUAACACACACCAGGAGAAAGGGCGGGGCAAGACCGGUGCCAGCCGCCGCGGUAAUACCGGCUGCUCGAGUGAUAGCCACUUUUACUGGGCUUAAAGCGUUCGUAGCUUGGUCGUUAAGUCUCUGGGGAAAUCUUUUGGCUCAACCAAAAGGCGUCUCAGGGAAGCUGACGAUCUUGGAACCGGGAGAGGUAAGACGUACUUCGGGGGUAGGAGUGAAAUCUUGUAAUCCCCGAGGGACGACCGAUGGCGAAGGCAUCUUACCAGAACGGCUUCGACAGUGAGGGACGAAAGCUGGGGGAGCAAACCGGAUUAGAUACCCGGGUAGUCCCAGCCGUAAACGAUGUGCGUUAGGUGUGUCAGUGACCACGGAUCGCUGAGGUGCCGAAGGGAAACCGUGAAACGCACCGCCUGGGAAGUACGGUCGCAAGGCUGAAACU